UACGUAGGGUGCGAGCGUUAGUCGGAAUUACUGGGCGUAAAGCGUGCGCAGGCGGUCUGUUAAGACCGAUGUGAAAUCCCCGGGCUUAACCUGGGAACUGCAUUGGUGACUGCAUUGCUGGAGUAUGGCAGAGGGGGGUGGAAUUCCACGUGUAGCAGUGAAAUGCGUAGAGAUGUGGAGGAACACCGAUGGCGAAGGCAGCCCCCUGGGCCAAUACUGACGCUCAUGCACGAAAGCGUGGGGAGCAAACGGG
Molecule: ribosomal RNA, 253 nt
Filed under: uncultured bacterium
Lineage: Bacteria
Description: partial 16S ribosomal RNA
Rfam family: Bacterial small subunit ribosomal RNA
Source: RNAcentral